This 258-nucleotide long non-coding RNA is filed under the name Nicotiana tabacum (common tobacco). RNAcentral's name for it is "long non-coding RNA (NTAB_LNC001875)". Lineage: Eukaryota; Viridiplantae; Streptophyta; Magnoliopsida; Solanales; Solanaceae. The record is from RNAcentral.
GUGUUUUCAACUGUGCUGGGCAUUGUUCGUUAAUAGGUGCUGUGCAUCUGAGAUUACGACAUCCUCCAUUGGUCGGGCUGAAUUCCAUGGGGAUGUUAAAUCCAUCAACAAGAGAGAUGUCGACAAAGUCCUGAUUGGGUUGAUUAAGUGCAAAUUCAGCUAAAGUGUUAGGUGCUUUUCCAUAGCCUUGACACUCUAACAUCCCGUUACAGUCUCCAGUCUCACAAUUACCUCGGCCACUGCCAUCGAAGUUGCAAU